RNAcentral lists this ribosomal RNA (1228 nucleotides) under Steinernema karii. RNAcentral's name for it is "SSU rRNA". It matches the Rfam family "Eukaryotic small subunit ribosomal RNA", at positions 71 to 1317 of the family's 1831-position model. The record is from RNAcentral. Lineage: Eukaryota; Metazoa; Nematoda; Chromadorea; Rhabditida; Steinernematidae.
CGAUUUAAAGUGAAACCGCGAACGGCUCAUUACAACAGCAAUAAUUGACUGGACGAUAUUUUCCUUAAAUGGAUAACUGAGGUAAUUCUUGAGAUAAUACAUGAUCAUAUGCGGCGUGCCUCGUGUGCGCCGUUCAUUUAUUAGACCAAAACCAGGCGGCCUCGGUCGUUUUUUGGUGACUCUUGAUAACUCUGUCAAUCGCAUGACUUCACGUCGGCGAUGCGUCCAUCAAGUUUCUGCCCUAUCAACUUUUGAUGGUUGUGCAUUGGACAACCAUGGUGAUAACGGGUAACGGAGAAUKAGGGUUCGACUCCGGAGAGRRAGCCUGAGAAACGGCUACCACAUCCAAGGAAGGCAGCAGGCGCGAAAAUUACCCACUCUCAGUGCGAGGAGGUAGUGACGAAAAAUAACAAGGCUGAUCACUUUGUGAGCAGCUAUUGGAAUGAGUACAAUUUAAACUCUUUAACGAGACCUAUGAGAGGGCAAGUCUGGUGCCAGCAGCCGCGGUAAUUCCAGCUCUCAAAAUGUACUUAACCAUUGUUGCGGUUAAAAAGCUCGUAGUUGGAUCUUCGCGACGCGGAGUGGUUCGUUCAUUGAGCGAUCACUGCUCCGUGUUGCUCUCUUUUGUCGGUUUUCGGCAGGUGCUCUUCACGGAGUGUCUGUCGUGGCUGACGAGUUUACUUUGAAUUAAUUGGAGUGCUUAAAACAGGCGUUUCGCUUGAACAGUCUAGCAUGGAAUAAUGGAAUAGGACUUCGGUUCGAUUUUAUUGGUUUUAUGGAUCGAAGUAAUGAUUAGUAGGAACAAACGGGGGCAUUCGUAUUGUAGCGUUAGAGGUGAAAUUCUAGGAUCGCUGCAAGACGAUCGACUGCGAAAGCAUUUGCCAAGAAUGUUUUCAUUAAUCAAGAACGAAAGUCAGGGGUUCGAAGGCGAUCAGAUACCGCCCUAGUCCUGACCCUAAACUCUGCCAACUACCGAUCCGUCGAUGGUAAUUUCGCCUUGAUGGGGAGGUAAUCGGAAACGAAAGUCUUCCGGUUCCGGGGGAAGUAUGGUUGCAAAGCUGAAACUUAAAGAAAUUGACGGAAGGGCACCACCAGGAGUGGAGCCUGCGGCUUAAUUUGACUCAACACGGGAAAACUCACCCGGCCCGGACACUGUAAGGAUUGACAGAUUGAAAGCUCUUUCUUGAUUCGGUGGAUGGUGGUGCAUGGCCGUUCUUAGUUGGUGGAU